GAUUAUCCCUAAAUUUUUUGUGCACUUGAGUGUAGAAUAUUUGAAGAUUUGAUGCAAUUUUAGUAGUUUUCAUUUUGCUUGUACUAGUUUCCUUUCUUUUUGAUUUUUUGCCCCUUUCUACUGUUCUCGUUAGUAGAAUUUAUGUCUUUGGUUUUAUCCUUGCAAUUGCUUGCCUACUCGUGUGCAGUUGCUUAUCUUUCCUGCAAGCAUAGUAUUAUUAUGAACUCAAUAGUUGUAAAAUAUCUGAUUGAUAUGUAUUAUUAGGUUAAUU
RNAcentral lists this long non-coding RNA (271 nucleotides) under Coffea arabica (coffee). RNAcentral describes it as "long non-coding RNA (CARA_LNC007826)". The record is from RNAcentral. Lineage: Eukaryota; Viridiplantae; Streptophyta; Magnoliopsida; Gentianales; Rubiaceae.